AUUGAACGCUGGCGGCAGGCCUAACACAUGCAAGUCGAGCGGAUGAAGGGAGCUUGCUCCUGGAUUCAGCGGCGGACGGGUGAGUAAUGCCUAGGAAUCUGCCUGGUAGUGGGGGAUAACGUCCGGAAACGGGCGCUAAUACCGCAUACGUCCUGAGGGAGAAAGUGGGGGAUCUUCGGACCUCACGCUAUCAGAUGAGCCUAGGUCGGAUUAGCUAGUUGGUGGGGUAAAGGCCUACCAAGGCGACGAUCCGUAACUGGUCUGAGAGGUUGAUCAGUCACACUGGAACUGAGACACGGUCCAGACUCCUACGGGAGGCAGCAGUGGGGAAUAUUGGACAAUGGGCGAAAGCCUGAUCCAGCCAUGCCGCGUGUGUGAAGAAGGUCUUCGGAUUGUAAAGCACUUUAAGUUGGGAGGAAGGGCAGUAAGUUAAUACCUUGCUGUUUUGUCGUUACCAACAGAAUAAGCACCGGCUAACUUCGUG
RNAcentral lists this ribosomal RNA (484 nucleotides) under uncultured bacterium. RNAcentral's name for it is "partial 16S ribosomal RNA". It matches the Rfam family "Bacterial small subunit ribosomal RNA", at positions 30 to 507 of the family's 1533-position model. The record is from RNAcentral.